GAUUAAGGUCUUAGUUCGCAUCCCAUAGGUUUGAUGUUUAACGACGCUUUAUUGCGUCGCUCAAGUAGCAUAAGCCGACGCUUUUAAGCAUCAGCAUAGUCCAACACAAAAUACGGUGGGAAGCGUGGGUUGAAGUACGCCGACGCUUUUAAGCGUCGGGUUUGUAUAAAAUGAACGACGCUUAAAAGCGUCGGCAUAGUCCAACACAAAAUACGGUGGGAAGCGUGGGUUAAAGUACGCCGACGCUUUUAAGCGUCGGGUUUGUAUAAAAUGAACGACGCUUAAAAGCGUCGGCAUAGAGCGACGAC
Molecule: long non-coding RNA, 308 nt
Filed under: Phoenix dactylifera (date palm)
Lineage: Eukaryota; Viridiplantae; Streptophyta; Magnoliopsida; Arecales; Arecaceae
Description: long non-coding RNA (PDAC_LNC013553)
Source: RNAcentral